GACGAACGCUGGCGGCGUGCCUAAUACAUGCAAGUAGAACGCACAGUUUAUACCGUAGCUUGCUACACCAUAGACUGUGAGUUGCGAACGGGUGAGUAACGCGUAGGUAACCUGCCUGGUAGCGGGGGAUAACUAUUGGAAACGAUAGCUAAUACCGCAUAAUAUUAAUUAUUGCAUGAUAAUUAAUUGAAAGGUGCAAUUGCACCACUACCAGAUGGACCUGCGUUGUAUUAGCUAGUAGGUGAGGUAACGGCUCACCUAGGCGACGAUACAUAGCCGACCUGAGAGGGUGAUCGGCCACACUGGGACUGAGACACGGCCCAGACUCCUACGGGAGGCAGCAGUAGGGAAUCUUCGGCAAUAGACGAAAGUCUGACCGAGCAACUCCGCGUGAGUGAAGAAGGUUUUCGGAUCGUAAAGCUCUGUUGUAAGAGAAGAACGGGUGUGAGAGUGGAAAGUUCACACUGUGACGGUAUCUUACCAGAAAGGGACGGCUAACUACGUG
Molecule: ribosomal RNA, 505 nt
Filed under: uncultured bacterium
Lineage: Bacteria
Description: partial 16S ribosomal RNA
Rfam family: Bacterial small subunit ribosomal RNA
Source: RNAcentral